This 537-nucleotide ribosomal RNA is filed under the name uncultured Mycobacterium sp. RNAcentral's name for it is "bacterial SSU rRNA". It matches the Rfam family "Bacterial small subunit ribosomal RNA", at positions 54 to 606 of the family's 1533-position model. Lineage: Bacteria; Bacillati; Actinomycetota; Actinomycetes; Mycobacteriales; Mycobacteriaceae. The record is from RNAcentral.
CAUGCAAGUCGAACGGAAAGGCCCUUCGGGGUACUCGAGUGGCGAACGGGUGAGUAACACGUGGGUGAUCUGCCCUGCACUUUGGGAUAAGCCUGGGAAACUGGGUCUAAUACCGAAUACACCCUUCUGGCUGCAUGGUCUGGGAGGGGAAAGCUUUUGCGGUGUGGGAUGGGCCCGCGGCCUAUCAGCUUGUUGGUGAGGUUAUGGCUUACCAAGGCGACGACGGGUAGCCGGCCUGAGAGGGUGACCGGCCACACUGGGACUGAGAUACGGCCCAGACUCCUACGGGAGGCAGCAGUGGGGAAUAUUGCACAAUGGGCGCAAGCCUGAUGCAGCGACGCCGCGUGAGGGAUGACGGCCUUCGGGUUGUAAACCUCUUUCGCCAGGGACGAAGCGCAAGUGACGGUACCUGGAGAAGAAGGACCGGCCAACUACGUGCCAGCAGCCGCGGUAAUACGUAGGGUCCGAGCGUUGUCCGGAAUUACUGGGCGUAAAGAGCUCGUAGGUGGUUUGUCGCGUUGUUCGUGAAAACUCACA